GCUGGUGGAGCAUCAUCAAGAUUCACAAGCUUUAAGGGGUGGAUUGUGUUUGGGGUGGUCCCUAAUUGCUCCAUAUCAAUUUGCUCUUUGAUUUGAGAAUCUUGAUGAUGCUGCAGUAGC
RNAcentral lists this microRNA precursor (120 nucleotides) under Lotus japonicus. RNAcentral describes it as "miR172a stem-loop (lja-MIR172a)". Its record names the gene lja-MIR172a. It matches the Rfam family "mir-172 microRNA precursor family". Rfam says of the family: mir-172 has been experimentally verified in Arabidopsis thaliana. The record is from miRBase by way of RNAcentral. Lineage: Eukaryota; Viridiplantae; Streptophyta; Magnoliopsida; Fabales; Fabaceae.